RNAcentral lists this ribosomal RNA (253 nucleotides) under uncultured bacterium. RNAcentral describes it as "partial 16S ribosomal RNA". It matches the Rfam family "Bacterial small subunit ribosomal RNA", at positions 524 to 776 of the family's 1533-position model. The record is from RNAcentral.
UACAGAGGUCCCAAGCGUUGUUCGGAUUCACUGGGCGUAAAGGGUGCGUAGGUGGCCAGGUAAGUUCGGUGUGAAAGCUCGGAGCUUAACUCCGAAAUGUCAUUGAAUACUAUCUGGCUGGAGGGUCGGAGGGGAGACUGGAAUUCUCGGUGUAGCAGUGAAAUGCGUAGAUAUCGAGAGGAACACCAGUGGCGAAGGCGAGUCUCUGGACGACUCCUGACACUGAGGCACGAAAGCCAGGGGAGCAAACAGG